This is a non-coding RNA of Drosophila kikkawai, 481 nucleotides long. The record is from RefSeq and is a predicted model, not a curated record. NCBI's taxonomy places the organism in Eukaryota, Metazoa, Arthropoda, Insecta, Diptera, Drosophilidae.
ACUGCAUUUGUUAUUGGUUGGAUUUAUGCUUCAUAUUUUUAUUAUAAUCAGUGACGGCUUAAAGUGUUUGAACUGCGGCUAGGCGACUAAAAAUCGACUGAAUUGCAAAGUGUAAACAAUCCUGCGUCAUACCAGAUAAACAAAAUCAACAAACAAAAGAUGUUGGUAGCUGAGGACAUACAUGAUUAUAACAUCAGACAAGAAAUAAAAUAUUUCGGAUUAGAAUGCGAAUCUCAUAAAACGACCCACAGAUCUUUAAAUAUGAAAAUUAAAGGAGAUCUGAUAAACAGAACCAAGAAACAAAAAAAGAACGAUAAGAUUUUAGACCUCAAUAACUACUGUCAACUAGAGAUUAUGAAAUAUAUUAUUGCUGACUGCGAGUUGAGCGAUAAAUCUCGGGGUAAUAAAAUGAAAUACGCCAAUUUGGUAAAUUUUGCCCUGGCGUAUGAGGUUUUUGAGGUAUUAUUAGAAGAAUACUACA